Molecule: ribosomal RNA, 506 nt
Filed under: uncultured bacterium
Lineage: Bacteria
Description: bacterial SSU rRNA
Rfam family: Bacterial small subunit ribosomal RNA
Source: RNAcentral
GACGAACGCUGGCGGCGUGGAUUAGGCAUGCAAGUCGAGCGGUAUCAUCCUUUCGGGGGUGAGAGAGUGGCGAACUGGUGAGUAACACGUAGGUUAUCUACCCUCAAGACGGGGACAACCCAGGGAAACUUGGGCUAAUACCGGAUGUGAGCAACUUUUAGUUGUUUGAAAGGUGGCGUAAGCUGUCGCUUGGGGAUGAGCCUGCGUCCUAUUAGUUAGUUGGUGAGGUAACGGCUCACCUAGGCAAUGAUAGGUAGGCGGCCUUAACGGGUGGUCGCCCACACUGGGAUUGAGAUACGGCCCAGACUCCUACGGGAGGCAGCAGUCGAGAAUAGUCUACAAUGGUCGGAAGACUGAUAGUGCGACGCCGCGUGAACGAUGAAUCCCUUCGGGGUGUAAAGUUCUUUUAUAUGUGAGCAGUGCUUCUUAUAUUAACAGUAUGGGGAGAGAGAUAUUAGCAUAUGAAUAAGCAACGGCUAACUCCGUGCCAGCAGCCGCGGUAAACU